UACGUAGGGUGCAAGCGUUGUCCGGAAUUAUUGGGCGUAAAGAGCUCGUAGGCGGUUUGUUGCGUCGGCUGUGAAAUCCCGAGGCUCAACCUCGGGUCUGCAGUCGAUACGAGCAAACUAGAGUGUUGCAGGGGAGACUGGAAUUCCUGGUGUAGCGGUGAAAUGCGCAGAUAUCAGGAGGAACACCGGUGGCGAAGGCGGGUCUCUGGGCCGAUACUGACGCUGAGGAGCGAAAGCUAGGGGAGCGAACGGG
RNAcentral lists this ribosomal RNA (253 nucleotides) under uncultured bacterium. RNAcentral describes it as "partial 16S ribosomal RNA". It matches the Rfam family "Bacterial small subunit ribosomal RNA", at positions 524 to 776 of the family's 1533-position model. The record is from RNAcentral.